This 468-nucleotide ribosomal RNA is filed under the name uncultured bacterium. RNAcentral describes it as "partial 16S ribosomal RNA". It matches the Rfam family "Bacterial small subunit ribosomal RNA", at positions 28 to 507 of the family's 1533-position model. The record is from RNAcentral.
GACGAACGCUGGCGGCGUGCUUAACACAUGCAAGUCGAACGGAAAGGCCCUGCUUUUGUGGGGUGCUCGUGUGGCGAACGGGUGAGUAACACGUGAGUAACCUCCCCUUAACUUUGGGAUAACUUCAGGAAACUGGGGCUCAUACCGGAUAGGAGCUCCUGCUGCACGGUGGGGGUUGGAAAGUUUCGGCGGUUGGGGCUGGACUCGCGGCUUAUCCGCUUGAUGGUCUGGUAGUGGCUUACCAAGCCUUUGACGGGUAGCCGGCCUGAGAGGGUGACCGGCGACAUUGGUACUGAGAGAGGGCGCAGACUGCUACGGGAGGCAGCAGGGGAGAAUAUGGCACAACGGGGGGGAGCCUGAUGCAGCAACGCCGCGUGCGGGAUGCCGGCCUUCGGGUGGUAAACCGCUUUCGCCUGUGACGAAGCGUGAGUGACGGUAAUGGGUCAAGAAGCACCGGCUAACUACGUG